UGCCCCUCUAGCUCGCUGCACCGUUAGAUCUUCACUUGCAGUUAAAUUGUUUUUCAUCAUUUUUCUUGCCCAAUAACGAGUGAGCUCAUCUCAAGCUUGCAUUGGCUGUCUCAGCAGCGGGUCAUCUUCGGGCGGGUGAACCUUUCCUCGCGCGCCGCGUCGUUUCGUGGCUGGGGCGAGAAGCCCAUUGGACAUAACCGCACCAAACCCUAGCCCCCCGUCCACAGCCACCCGCUCCUUCUCACAGCCGCCGCACCAUUCCUCCCUUCCGCCCCCUCCUCCUUCCCAGAUCCCCACCACGGCGCCGACCUGCAGGCAAAGGGCGACAGCGGUGGCGCUCAGUUAGAUCUGUAGGAGAGAGAAGAUGAGAGGGAGAGAGAGGAGGGAGAAAGAGAGGAAGAGGAGAGGAGGCACGGUGUCGGAUGGGAGAGUGGCCAACUCGGCUCGCGUCGGCUGGGGUCGCACCCCUCCCCGAAGGGCGGCGAUGAUGGAGGGAGCCGCAGGCGCCAUCCAGGCUCCCGACCGACGGACUCGCUGGGUCGCCGCCCCUCCCGUGCGGCAGGGACAUCCACGGCGGCGCGGGCUGGGGACCGAGCGGCGGGGCCCGUGAUGCAUUCCGGUCGAGGGAUUGGUCGGGCCGGCGCGGGAUCUUAGCCGCCGUCGAUGGAUUACUCGCUGCUUGGCUACCUGUUGCUUUGGAUCCGGCGAGCUCUCAUUGCCGGAUCACUGGCCAAUCGUCGGGUUGGCGACCACGUCAGUUCCGCACCGCUGCCAGCGAGCGCUGUUCUGUUGCCUUGGAUUCGGGUGUGGCGUUGGCUGGGAACCGUAUGGUGUUUGUCUGAUGUGUCGUCCGCAUCGUGGGGGUUUGGUCGGUUGACUCCAGGUAUGAGCAGCUCCUGAGCUUGAUGGCUGGAUGUGUGCACACAUGUAACGGGGUAUCAUGGUCAUGUUGCUUGGUGUGCAGAGGCAACCUCAUUUUUGGACCAAAAAGAGGGGCGAUGACGAUGAUGACUGGCUGAAACAAUCAUGUCUUGAGCAAUCAAGACAGCCUUGGCUUGUGGGACUAAACAGAGCUGAAAAAGUCGGUGUCACCGUUGGAGUUGCCCUUAGAGCCUACCCUUACCUCUGUUGUAGCCUGCUCAAUUUUAUUGCCGAUGUUGGAUGAUUUGUGCCUUGGACGGUCGCUCAGAUGAGUGAUACUCUGGGACCAGGUCUAUUUCGCCACACACGAACCCAUUGACCUCCCAUGUUCCUGGGGAGCGUUGCAUGUCGGAAAAGAUAGGGUUUGUGUCACACAAAGUUCUGCAUUGACACUUAGAAAGCAAGUGAAAAGCGAUAUGCCAUUUUUUGAGGCUAUCUACAAUCCCGUUAAAAGGCAACUGCUAAACACUGAAGGGCAAUGGAACUCAAUUUGUCGGUAUCGCAGUUUGAUAAAUUGUAUUAGUGGUAUUUCUUGGAUUUAUAUAAGAAAAACAAAAAUAGCUACCUUUGUGUGAAUUACAGUGCUAAUGAUGAGUUCUUUGUAUCAGACAUGAAUGGACAGAUUCAAGAUUUCCUUUCACCUAGGCUUGGUUAGUUGGCCACUUUAUUUCCCACUUUCUGUCAUGUAAUCUUGAUGUCGAUACUUCGACAUUACAUACAUAAUAUGAUGCAUAAUGUAGAAGUUACUAAUGGUCAAAAAAAAUCUGGAUACGACACCUGCUUACUCCUAUUCACAUUAUGUAGAAGUUGCAUAAGGCAGAACAAGACUAAGAACAUUUGUCAGUUUUUUCAUGUGCAGUUUCAGCAGCGGGCAAUGCUCAAGACAGAGUUGGGCGCACAUCAUAUAUAUACAUAUGUUGUCGUGUCUUAAUAAAUGGAGAUGAGCAGAAGUAGAGAUGAGAUAUCUAUCCGACUGUCAUCCUUCCAAGACUUGGGUUUGUCAUCUCUGUCAGCGUCCGCCUCCGCUUCCUUCGUUGGUUGUCGUUUCUUUGUACACUACUGUAGUUUAGAGAUCAUAAUAUAUUUUCCAUGGAUACAAUUGAAUACGACACCCAAUUUGCUAUAUAAUUGUUCAGCUCUCUAUCAUAGCGAUUCAUACAAAAUAUCAUGCAUAGUGGUCCCAGCUUAAGUAGAAUAUAACCAUUGGAUUGUUCAAACUUUGCUCGUGUUUCGCAGGGCACCAUAACUCUAAUCCGACAUGAGUAGUGCAACCACGACAGUGAGCAGUGGAACCGCAAGAUAGAGAUAGAUACAAGUAGAAUAUAACUGAUCAUAUUUCUAAAAUGAUCACACUACUUAUGGUGCCGGAAGAGAAGGCAUCAGUGAUAGUGGGCUUGGUGAUGAGGGCAUCAAUACGAAGAGAUUAAUUCACAACUUUGUUCUUGAUAGGUUGUACAAAUAUACAAGGUACUAUUGUUUCCUUUUAUGUUUAAAUAGCUUUGUGAGUACAAUUAUAUGAAAAUUCUGCGAUUCAUGGUGCGGAAGCGGGCAUCUUUGUUUUCCUGACCAAAAAUACUUGGUUUCAUGCCUCCAUGGUAUAAUUUAGAGGCACAGUCCAAUGAGAGAUUCCUACUUAGCUAGCUAAUAUAUAACAUUUGACGGUACUGUCUUGUGUUGUAAAUACAAAAUAUGCUACAUGAGCAUUACUUUUAUUUUGAAUUUAAUUUUGUGUUUGAGCCUCUUUUACAUAUUAAGUGUAAUAUCACAGACUUUCUUCUUUCAGGGUUAACUGGCCAUGCAAAAACUGUUGUGAGGCAUUAAAUGGUACUCCCUCUGUAAACUAAUAUAAGAGCGUUUAGAUCACUAUUUUAGUAUUCUAAACACUCUUAUAUUAGUUUACGGAGGUAGUACUAUAUGUUUUUGGCUUGCUUUUGUUCACUUUUGUCCUUUCCAAAGUGGAAUAAGAAAAGAAAGUCAAAACAGGCUCAACCAUGACUACUCUGCUCUUGUGAUCACCAAUUUCUGCUCCAUUGCGCACAAGAAAGUAGUGACUAUUUAUUUGCUUAAACAAUAUGUCCAGCGCUGCCUGUCCUGCUAAUAUUCCUUUAUGGAUGUAUCGCACAAAUUUCAGUUAUUGGAUAUGAAAUGUAGGUUCUCUACUCAGAGCUUGGUCCAAUGGUCAAUGCAGCUCUAUGUUGUGCUAUCUUGCUAUUGGGCUCUUUUUCGUUACUUAAAAUGGUCAGAUAUCUCUGAUGUUAAAUUCGUGGUUGAUUGCUUAUAUCCAAAAUAACUAUGUUAGUACACUGAAGCCAAUUUCUACAUUGUUAGUGAAGUUGGCCAAAUUUAGUCCAACAUUUCCAGUAUGUAUCUUCUUCUGCUAUCAAUGUUAAUUCUGCCAUAAGCAUAUUACUCUCCUAGCAUUUUUUUUCUUUCGAUGAAAAACAGACACUUGUUCAGUUUUUUACUACAUAGAAAAAGAUAAGUUCAAUUUGGUUUCUAAUGUUCAUGUCGGCCUUUGCCUAAGCAAAAAAAGGUAACCAGUUUAUAUUGUAAUGUGGUUUUUAGUUUCUCUUUGAUUCAACCUUUUUUGUGUGUGCUGUCUAACUGUUAGAUUGUGUGGAACAUCUCGGAACAACCUUUCGUGUCCCUGAUAUUAUCUCGUUUCCUGAACAAUAUUAUUUUAUUUGCUUUAUCUGCCACCAUGAAUUCCUAGACUUCCUUUCUCUCCUUCCAAUUGACAUUCUUAGAUGUGAUUCUAUUAGAAAUUUUGUGCCAUGACAAAAGUAAUGGUUGAUUGCUCUGGUUUAGCCUUUAUGUCAGUUGUUGCUGAGGGUCCAGUUUCUCAUUUUUCAGAAUUUGUAGUAGCAGGGAUGUGUAUAAUAUGGAUAACUGAACUGGUGUUUAGGGGUUUCAAUGCAGGACUGCUACUUGCUCGAUUAGUUAGAUCAACUGGUGUUUGGAGAUUUCAGUGCGAGUGAUGUUCCAGUUUCGAUUGCAUGGGCUUCGAGAUGCACCAUGAGGAUUGAAACAAGUCUUAUAUAGGGCUGCUAAAUUAUUAUGCUUUUGGUCUUUUCUGAAUUUAGUUGGCAUAAAUACUUCCACAAUACCUCUUAUAAUAUGGAAGUCUGUUGGUAACAACACUGAUUUUGCCAGUUUGUGGAACAUGCUUCAUUUUUGUAGGUAAAAGAAGGAAGAGAACAUUGGAGAAAAAGGCAGCAUGACGGAUUCUCUAAGCUUUCUCAAAUGUUUGAACAAUUAGAAGAUAGUUACAAUCAUUUUUCUCUUGCCUUAUUACAUCUUGAUGUUAAUAGGCUUUGGAAGGUACUAUGCGCCCCGUUCAAGGUUUACAGAAUUUGCACCAUCCUAUUACAGUUUGUUCUGAUGACAUAAUUGACCAGUUCUUCCUUGAGUAAAUUAAUAUUGUGGCAGCUACUCCUUUGUGCAUUGUUACAUAGAGUUAUAUAAUUGUGAAGGUGUGUACACAUCAACA
Molecule: long non-coding RNA, 4411 nt
Organism: Triticum urartu
Lineage: Eukaryota; Viridiplantae; Streptophyta; Magnoliopsida; Poales; Poaceae
Source: RefSeq, a predicted model, not a curated record